This 260-nucleotide ribosomal RNA is filed under the name uncultured bacterium. RNAcentral describes it as "partial 16S ribosomal RNA". It matches the Rfam family "Bacterial small subunit ribosomal RNA", at positions 338 to 615 of the family's 1533-position model. The record is from RNAcentral.
CCUACGGGAGGCAGCAGUGGGGAAUAUUGCACAAUGGGGGAAACCCUGAUGCAGCGACGCCGCGUGAGUGAGGAAGUAUUUCGGUAUGUAAAGCUCUAUCAGCAGGGAAGAAAAUGACGGUACCUGACUAAGAAGCCCCGGCUAACUACGUGCCAGCAGCCGCGGUAAUACGUAGGGGGCAAGCGUUAUCCGGAUUUACUGGGUGUAAAGGGAGCGUAGACGGCUAAUCAAGUCAGAAGUGAAAACCAAGGGCUCAACUU